Molecule: ribosomal RNA, 496 nt
Filed under: uncultured bacterium
Lineage: Bacteria
Description: partial 16S ribosomal RNA
Rfam family: Bacterial small subunit ribosomal RNA
Source: RNAcentral
GACGAACGCUGGCGGCGUGCCUAAUACAUGCAAGUUGAGCGCUGAAGGUUGGUACUUGUUCCAACUGGAUGAGCAGCGGACGGGUGAGUAACGCGUGGGGAAUCUGCCUUUGAGCGGGGGACAACAUUUGGAAACGGAUGCUAAUACCGCAUAAAAACUUUAAACACAAGUUUUAAGUUUGAAAGAUGCUAUUGCAUCACUCAAAGAUGAUCCCGCGCUGUAUUAGCUAGGUGGUGAGGUAAAGGCUCUCCCAGGCAAUGAUACGUAGCCAACCCGAGAGGGGGAUCGGACACAUUGGAACUGAGAAACGGCCCAGACCCCUACGGGAGGCAGCAGUAGGGAAUCUUACGAAAGGGGGGAAAGCCUGACGGAGCACAGCGGGGUGAGUGAUGAAGGGUUUCGGACAGUAAAAUUAUGUUAGUAGGGAAGAAAAAAUGUGGAAGUAACUAUGAAAGUAAUGACGGUACCUAAACAGAAAGCCACGGCUAACUACGUG